CUAUUUUUGUUUCCAUGACUGGCAUUGACACCUUGAUCAACUACUUUUUUGGGAUUUUUCCAUUAUUGCUAUAUUGCAUGUGCUUUGCCCUGCACUAUUGUUAGUUGAUGUUCAAAUAACUUUUGCCGUGACAUGACUCGACCUUUGCUGGACAUAAGACUCUAGCAAUUUGGUUUGACAACGAAGAAUUCUGAAAGAUAUGCAACAAUUUUUCAUGAAAUAAUGUGAAUUUUGUCGUGAAGGUCUCUCCUGCAGCACAGAGUACACUUGUGAGUUUGAUCAUCAAGUGUAAGACUAUGGUGGAGGUAAGUUUUGUCUUGACGAUUUCAAUUGUCUGAUCAAAUCCAAUGUCACGAGACUUCUCUUUAUAUACUUUACACAGCUUGAGUCAUCUGCUAUUGAGACGGUUUACAUGCAAAAUCAGUUUUAUCUAAACUGAAAGGAGAUAAUAGCAUGCUCUUUGUAAUAUCUAUCUGGUUCAAUAUUUCAAUAUUCAGGAGAAAUAGAAUAGCAUGUCUUCCAUAUUUCGUUCGGAAUCUUGCCUGCCACCAUGUGGUUUUGCAGGUCUUCACAAAUUUUGAAUAACUGAUAUUCAGAUUCAGUAGAGAGAGACUGGUUGGAUUAUCAUCAGUUUCCAAUUUGAGUCCCUUGACAUGAAGUGGAAUACAAGCUUCAGCUCUUUCGCUAUGUCGUGGCUUUUGCAAUCAAGAUAAGUGAGCUUAUUGUUACUUUGCCUGUACAAUUUUUAUGUUCCUCUCCGAGUCCAAUAAUUUUUAGCAUUAUGUUUGCUUCUGUAACUGGUGACUUCUACGGCUUAAAUAUUCACCAGGUAUAAGGUUCAUCGUGUUAUUGAGAUCAAGGAUCAAAUAUUAGCAAUAAAAAUAGGACUUACAUUUGGAAUUGACUGCAUGAGGAAAGUUAUGUUUAUUUUCUUAACAUGUGAGCUUUGCUGCUUAAAUAAUCACGAGGUAUAGGGUUCAUCGUGUUAUGGUAACGAGGUAUCGUGCAUUAGCACAAAAAUAGGACUUACAUAUGGAAUAUACUGCAAGAGUAAAAUGUUGCUUACUAAGUACAUCGGGUAAGAAGUAUUGCAGAGGCAAACAAUUUCUGAGUUACUAACAAGAAAAUUGCUGAUUUGUAAGUUUCAGCAGAAUGGUCUCGGUUACACCAGAACUUGAUCCUAGUACCUCUUCCAGCCUCGGAGAACAGUUAUAGUUUAUGAGUUGAUGGCUUCAUGGUUACCUUUUUUUGAAAACUCCAGUUCUUGAAUUUCAGGUUGACAUAAAAGGACUUUGUGCUAGUGACGUUUACAGAACUUUACAUCGUUUGUGCUUCUAUUGAGGGACUGGAGAGUUCAAGUCGCUAUAAUGCACUAAGUUGUUGCAAGAUGGCAAUGAAAAUAUGUUCCCCUUUAUUUUCCUCUGUUGGUUAGAAUGCGUGAUUUCCAUAUAGUCAUUGGGUUUGAGUACGCGAGGGAUAUCAGUUAACUUGAGUCUUCCGCAAUAUAUGAUGGGCUGCGCUCUUUGUCCCUUUUCAGUGACCAGACCUACUCAGGUUUCUCAGUA
Molecule: long non-coding RNA, 1565 nt
Organism: Olea europaea var. sylvestris
Lineage: Eukaryota; Viridiplantae; Streptophyta; Magnoliopsida; Lamiales; Oleaceae
Exons: 2
Source: RefSeq, a predicted model, not a curated record